CGCGUAGGCGGAUGAAUAAGUCUCUUGUGAAAUCUAACGGCUUAACCGUUAAACUGCUUGGGAAACUAUUUAUCUAGAGUGAGGGAGAGGCAGAUGGAAUUGGUGGUGUAGGGGUAAAAUCCGUAGAGAUCACCAGGAAUACCCAUUGCGAAGGCGAUCUGCUGGAACUCAACUGACGCUAAUGCGUGAAAGCGUGGGGAGCAAACAGGA
Molecule: ribosomal RNA, 210 nt
Filed under: uncultured Campylobacter sp.
Lineage: Bacteria; Pseudomonadati; Campylobacterota; Epsilonproteobacteria; Campylobacterales; Campylobacteraceae
Description: partial 16S ribosomal RNA
Rfam family: Bacterial small subunit ribosomal RNA
Source: RNAcentral